GACCGCGUAGCUCAGUUGGCAGAGCAUUGGGCUAGUAUUCCAAAGGUCGUAGGUUUGAUUCCCACCGUGGCCG
This is a non-coding RNA of Paramuricea clavata, 73 nucleotides long. NCBI's taxonomy places the organism in Eukaryota, Metazoa, Cnidaria, Anthozoa, Malacalcyonacea, Plexauridae. The record is from the annotation of a GenBank genome assembly.